This 237-nucleotide long non-coding RNA is filed under the name Monodelphis domestica (gray short-tailed opossum). Its description in RNAcentral is "lncRNA (ENSMODG00000045216.1)". The record is from RNAcentral. Lineage: Eukaryota; Metazoa; Chordata; Mammalia; Didelphimorphia; Didelphidae.
UAUCACAGUGACUCUCUAUUCCCUUUUGUGAAAAAGCUGUGAUGAUAAUCUGCCUCUGACCUAUGUUGCAGAAAUAUUCACAGAAUCAACAAAUGCUAGAACUGGAAGAGGCCUUCACCAAGGGAAAGACUCUGAAGUACUGUGAAGUGGGAUGCUACAUGAAUAUCAAAUGCCAAAUUUGAAUGAAAUUGCAAGACCCUAUCCCUGGAGGGUGAGACUAAAAAGAAUCUUAGCUGG